RNAcentral lists this ribosomal RNA (253 nucleotides) under uncultured bacterium. RNAcentral's name for it is "partial 16S ribosomal RNA". It matches the Rfam family "Bacterial small subunit ribosomal RNA", at positions 524 to 776 of the family's 1533-position model. The record is from RNAcentral.
UACGUAGGGGGCAAGCGUUGUCCGGAAUCAUUGGGCGUAAAGCGCGCGUAGGCGGCUGAGUAAGUCUGCUCUGAAAGCCCGGGGCUCAACCCCGGGAGGCGGGUGGAUACUGCUCAGCUCGAGUCCGGAAGAGGAGUGUGGAAUUCCUGGUGUAGCGGUGAAAUGCGCAGAUAUCAGGAGGAACACCAAUGGCGAAGGCAGCACUCUGGGACGGUACUGACGCUGAGACGCGAAAGCGUGGGGAGCAAACAGG